AACGAACGCUGGCGGCAGGCCUAACACAUGCAAGUCGAGCGAAGACAUCGGGCCUAUCCGCGGACGGGGGAGUAACCCGUGGGGACGUGCCCAUUGCUUCGGCAUAGCUCUGGGAAUCUGGUAGUAAUACCGGAUCAGCCCUUUGGGGGGAAGAUUUAUCGGCGAAGGAGCGGCCCGAGUUGGAUUAGGUAGUGGGUGGGGUAAUGGCCUACCACGCCGAGGAUGCAUAGCUGGUUAGAGAGGAUGAUCAGCGACACUGGGAGUGAGACACGGCCCAGAAUCCUACGGGAGGGAGGAGUGGGGAAUCUUAGACAAUGGGGGAAACCCUGAUGGAGCCAUGCCGGGUGAGCGAUGAAAGUCUUAGGGUUGUAAAGUUCUUUCAGCUGGGAAGAUAAUGACGGUACCAGCAGAAGAAGCCCCGGCUAACUCCGUG
RNAcentral lists this ribosomal RNA (433 nucleotides) under uncultured bacterium. RNAcentral describes it as "partial 16S ribosomal RNA". It matches the Rfam family "Bacterial small subunit ribosomal RNA", at positions 29 to 507 of the family's 1533-position model. The record is from RNAcentral.